This 324-nucleotide unclassified non-coding RNA is filed under the name fungal sp. Its description in RNAcentral is "partial internal transcribed spacer region". The stretch from base 1 to 46 matches the Rfam family "Eukaryotic small subunit ribosomal RNA", at positions 1786 to 1831 of the family's 1831-position model. RNAcentral also lists the same sequence under 1 other name. Lineage: Eukaryota; Fungi. The record is from RNAcentral.
AAGUCGUAACAAGGUUUCCGUAGGUGAACCUGCGGAAGGAUCAUUAACACGAACUAUUUAUUUAUCCAAUAACAAAACCAAACGUGAACUUUUCCCCUCCCUAUAUAUAUAUAACUAAUCAUUAUGUAUAUAUAGGCUAACCGCAAAACUAAAUUUUAACCUUUUAGUUUUGCCUUUUAUUUUUAAUAUUUUAACCCCUUUAAACUUAACUAAGUUCGCGGUCGAAAGGCGGAACUUUACUAAUUAUUUCUAUAUAUGUAAUGUGUAUAGAUAAUUUUAUGAAAUUAUUAAGAACAACUCUUAACAAUGGAUAUCUUGGUUCUC